This 70-nucleotide transfer RNA is filed under the name Camelus bactrianus (Bactrian camel). It matches the Rfam family "tRNA". Rfam says of the family: Transfer RNA (tRNA) molecules are approximately 80 nucleotides in length. Their secondary structure includes four short double-helical elements and three loops (D, anti-codon, and T loops). RNAcentral also lists the same sequence under 2 other names. The record is from Rfam by way of RNAcentral. Lineage: Eukaryota; Metazoa; Chordata; Mammalia; Artiodactyla; Camelidae.
GGGUGUAGCUCAGUAAUAGAGUGUGUGCCUAGCAUGCAUGAGGUCCUGGGUUCAAUUCCCAGUAUCUCCA